This 395-nucleotide ribosomal RNA is filed under the name uncultured bacterium. RNAcentral describes it as "partial 16S ribosomal RNA". It matches the Rfam family "Bacterial small subunit ribosomal RNA", at positions 523 to 918 of the family's 1533-position model. The record is from RNAcentral.
AUACGUAGGGUGCAAGCGUUAAUCGGAAUUACUGGGCGUAAAGCGUGCGCAGGCGGUUUUGUAAGACAGUGGUGAAAUCCCCGGGCUCAACCUGGGAACUGCCAUUGUGACUGCAAGGCUGGAGUGCGGCAGAGGGGGAUGGAAUUCCGCGUGUAGCAGUGAAAUGCGGAGAUAUGCGGAGGAACACCGAUGGCGAAGGGAAUCCCCUGGGCCUGCACUGACGCUCAUGCACGAAAGCGUGGGGAGCAAACAGGAUUAGAUACCCUGGUAGUCCACGCCCUAAACGAUGUCAACUGGUUGUUGGGGAUUUAUUUUCUCAGUAACGAAGCUAACGCGUGAAGUUGACCGCCUGGGGAGUACGGCCGCAAGGUUAAAACUCAAAGGAAUUGACGGGG